Molecule: unclassified non-coding RNA, 404 nt
Filed under: soil metagenome
Description: partial contains 5.8S ribosomal RNA, internal transcribed spacer 2, and large subunit ribosomal RNA
Rfam family: 5.8S ribosomal RNA (bases 1-121)
Source: RNAcentral
GAUGAAGAACGUAGCGAAAUGCGAUAAGUAAUGUGAAUUGCAGAAUUCAGUGAAUCAUCGAAUCUUUGAACGCACCUUGCGCCCUUUGGCUAUUCCGAAGGGCAUGCCUGUUUGAGUAUCAUGAACAUCUCAACUCCUCGCGGUUUGCCCGUGACGAGCUUGGACCUUGGGGGUCUUGCCGGCCUGCGGGUCGGCUCCUCUCAAAUGAAUCGGCUUGCCGGUGUUUGGUGGCGUCACAGGUGUGAUAACUAUCUACGCUUGUGGUUUUCCGCCAGGUAACCUCCAGCGAUGGGGGUUCACUGGAGCUCACAAAUGUCUCUCCUCGGCGAGGACGGCUUUUUGAACGUUUGAUCUCAAAUCAGGUAGGACUACCCGCUGAACUUAAGCAUAUCAAUAACGGAGGA